RNAcentral lists this long non-coding RNA (253 nucleotides) under Oryza brachyantha (malo sina). RNAcentral describes it as "long non-coding RNA (OBRA_LNC002688)". The record is from RNAcentral. Lineage: Eukaryota; Viridiplantae; Streptophyta; Magnoliopsida; Poales; Poaceae.
AAUCUCUUCAUUCAUUCUCUAUAAAUACAUUAGAACCCCACUUGUCAGCCCCUUGUCUCCCUCUCUCUCUUUUUCUUAAUCUCUUUCUCUCUCUUUUCUUUUCUCUUGGUCUCUUUCCUUCCUCUCACACGGGCUGAGGCAAGCGGAGGGGGGAGGCAGCCGGAGCGACGCCGGCGCCGGGGCGAGGAGGCAACACGGCGCCAAUGUCGGCGCCCUCGACGACCCAGCGACGACCACGUCCGGGGCGGCGUGG